GAGGAAGGCGGGCGGCGUGCCUAAUACAUGCAAGUCGAGCGAACAGACGAGGAGCUUGCUCCUCUGACGUUAGCGGCGGACGGGUGAGUAACACGUGGAUAACCUACCUAUAAGACUGGGAGAACUUCGGGAAACCGGAGCUAAUACCGGAUAAUAUAUUGAACCGCAUGGUUCAAUAGUGAAAGGCGGUUUUGCUGUCACUUAUAGAUGGAUCCGCUCCGCAUUAGCUAGUUGGUAAGGUAACGGCUUACCAAGGCAACGAUGCGUAGCCGACCUGAGAGGGUGAUCGGCCACACUGGAACUGAGACACGGUCCAGACUCCUACGGGAGGCAGCAGUAGGGAAUCUUCCGCAAUGGGCGAAAGCCUGACGGAGCAACGCCGCGUGAGUGAUGAAGGUCUUCGGAUCGUAAAACUCUGUUAUUAGGGAAGAACAAAUGUGUAAGUAACUAUGCACGUAUUGACGGUACCUAAUCAGAAAGCCACGGCUAACUACGUG
RNAcentral lists this ribosomal RNA (497 nucleotides) under uncultured bacterium. RNAcentral's name for it is "partial 16S ribosomal RNA". It matches the Rfam family "Bacterial small subunit ribosomal RNA", at positions 28 to 507 of the family's 1533-position model. The record is from RNAcentral.